GUUAAAAAGCUCGUAGUUUGAUAUCUGCCGGAAGUCCUUGGUCUGCUCUUCGAGCCAGAAUUUGAGUUGCUUCCGGCAUCCGUGUGAGAUUCGCAACUGUGCUUGAUUGCGUGGGGCGGAGCUCGCAUCUUUUACUUUGAGGAAAUUGGAGUGCUCUCAGCAGGCGUAAGCCUUGCAUAUGCUAGCAUGGGAUAAUUUAUUAAGGUUUGCUGUUCUAUCUCGGUGGCUCUGGGAACGUAAACAAUGAUUAAUAGGGACAGUUGGGGGCACUCGUAUUAACGCGUCAGAGGUGGAAUUCUUAGACUGCGUUACGACGAUCUACUGCGAAAGCAUUCGUCAAAGAUGUUUUCAUUGAUCAAGAACGAAAGUAUGGGGAUCGAAGAUGAUUAGAUACCGUCGUAGUCUAUACCAUAAACGAUGCCACCUAGGGAUUGGAGGGCUAUCUCUAUAGGCCUCCUCCAGCAUCUUUCGAGAAAAUCAAGUCUUUGGGUCCCGGGGGGAGUAUGGUCGCAAGGCUGAAACUUAAGGAAUUGAC
Molecule: ribosomal RNA, 535 nt
Filed under: uncultured marine eukaryote
Lineage: Eukaryota
Description: bacterial SSU rRNA
Rfam family: Eukaryotic small subunit ribosomal RNA
Source: RNAcentral